RNAcentral lists this non-coding RNA (93 nucleotides) under Brevibacillus borstelensis. RNAcentral's name for it is "c-di-GMP sequence". It matches the Rfam family "c-di-GMP-I riboswitch aptamer". From Rfam's summary of the family: GEMM was predicted in a large-scale screen for bacterial structured RNA regulatory elements. RNAcentral also lists the same sequence under 1 other name. The record is from RNAcentral. Lineage: Bacteria; Bacillati; Bacillota; Bacilli; Caryophanales; Paenibacillaceae.
UUCUGAAAAAGGCAAACCCACUGAAAGGCGGGGACGCAAAGCCACGGGUCUAAGGCUGCAUAAAAAUGCGGCUACGACAGCCGGGUUGCCAGA